UCGGAUACAAAACCAAGAACCCUUGGCCGCCGCCCCCUAAGUUUUCCCCGUCAAUUUUCAAGCUUGGAAUUGAGAGAUCCAAGGGUGCUCGUGUGUUCCCCAGUCUCCUUUGCCGCCUCGUGACGUCGUGGUUGUAAGAUAUCCAGGAGAGCAUGAACCAGAGGCGAAGGGGCAGGAUUCUUGAGCGGACUGCAUGGAAGCAAGGCACUCGACCCAGUGACUCCUAUGUUUUCCACAUGAUUUUCUUUUGGAGUGUUGAGGGAGGUUAAAAUAAAAAGACAUGUUUUCUUUUACUUCUUUAUGGUUAUCGCAUUAGUUUGAGUUUGACUGGUUCUGCAUUGGGUUCAGAUACCUAUAAACUAACUAAAUAAAUUAUUUUAUAGAUUAUUUUCA
Molecule: long non-coding RNA, 393 nt
Organism: Zingiber officinale
Lineage: Eukaryota; Viridiplantae; Streptophyta; Magnoliopsida; Zingiberales; Zingiberaceae
Exons: 2
Source: RefSeq, a predicted model, not a curated record